Molecule: non-coding RNA, 136 nt
Organism: Brachypodium distachyon (stiff brome)
Lineage: Eukaryota; Viridiplantae; Streptophyta; Magnoliopsida; Poales; Poaceae
Source: Rfam
UUAGUACUCCCUUCGUCCAACAAAGGAUGUCUCAAGUUGGAUUAAAUUUGAAUGCAUCUAUACACUAAGUUAUGUCUAAAUACAUCCAAAUUUUGACAAACUUGAAACAUCCUUUGUUGGAAGAAGGAAAUAACAU